AGUGAACGCUGGCGGUAGGCCUAACACAUGCAAGUCGAACGGCAGCACAGGAGAGCUUGCUCUCUGGGUGGCGAGUGGCGGACGGGUGAGGAAUACAUCGGAAUCUACUCUGUCGUGGGGGAUAACGUAGGGAAACUUACGCUAAUACCGCAUACGACCUACGGGUGAAAGCAGGGGAUCUUCGGACCUUGCGCGAUUGAAUGAGCCGAUGUCGGAUUAGCUAGUUGGCGGGGUAAAGGCCCACCAAGGCGACGAUCCGUAGCUGGUCUGAGAGGAUGAUCAGCAACACUGGAACGGAGACACGGUCCAGACUCCUACGGGAGGCAGCAGUGGGGAAUAUUGGACAAUGGGCGCAAGCCUGAUCCAGCCAUACCGCGUGGGUGAAGAAGGCCUUCGGGUUGUAAAGCCCUUUUGUUGGGAAAGAAAUCCAGCUGGCUGAUACCCGGUUGGGAUGACGGUACCCAAAGAAUAAGCACCGGCUAACUUCGUGCCAGCAGCCGCGGUAA
RNAcentral lists this ribosomal RNA (506 nucleotides) under uncultured bacterium. Its description in RNAcentral is "partial 16S ribosomal RNA". It matches the Rfam family "Bacterial small subunit ribosomal RNA", at positions 29 to 523 of the family's 1533-position model. The record is from RNAcentral.